This 253-nucleotide ribosomal RNA is filed under the name uncultured bacterium. Its description in RNAcentral is "partial 16S ribosomal RNA". It matches the Rfam family "Bacterial small subunit ribosomal RNA", at positions 524 to 776 of the family's 1533-position model. The record is from RNAcentral.
UACAGGGGGUGCAAACGUUGCUCGGAAUCAUCGGGCGUAAAGCGCACGUAGGCGGUUCGUUAUGUCGGAUGUGAAAGCCCUUGGCUUAACCGAGGAAGUGCAUCCGAAACUGGCGAGCUAGAGUACUAAAGAGGAUCGCGGAAUUCCCGGUGUAGAGGUGAAAUUCGUAGAUAUCGGGAGGAACACCGGUGGCGAAGGCGGCGAUCUGGGUAGAUACUGACGCUGAGGUGCGAAAGCGUGGGGAGCAAACAGG